RNAcentral lists this ribosomal RNA (253 nucleotides) under uncultured bacterium. RNAcentral's name for it is "partial 16S ribosomal RNA". It matches the Rfam family "Bacterial small subunit ribosomal RNA", at positions 524 to 776 of the family's 1533-position model. The record is from RNAcentral.
UACGUAGGGGGCUAGCGUUGUCCGGAUUUAUUGGGCGUAAAGAGCGUGUAGGCGGCCUGGUAGGUCUGCUGUGAAAACUCGAGGCUCAACCUCGAGAUGUCGGCGGAAACCAUCUGGCUAGAGUCCGGAAGAGGAGAGUGGAAUUCCUGGUGUAGCGGUGAAAUGCGCAGAUAUCAGGAAGAACACCUAUGGCGAAGGCAGCUCUCUGGGACGGGACUGACGCUGAGACGCGAAAGCGUGGGGAGCGAACAGG